This 584-nucleotide long non-coding RNA is filed under the name Cricetulus griseus (Chinese hamster). Its description in RNAcentral is "lncRNA (ENSCGRG00015030661.1)". The record is from RNAcentral. Lineage: Eukaryota; Metazoa; Chordata; Mammalia; Rodentia; Cricetidae.
GGCAGUUAUAAGACCAUCUGGGGGGCAUCUUAGACCAGGUGGCCAGGGACAGCUUUUAAUACAGCUGGUCAGAUGAAAACAGGGCUGAGGUGUGCUAAGGACUAAGGACCCUGAGAGGUGGUUAGUGAGAGCUGAGAGGUGGUUAGUGAGAGGUGAGAGGUGGUUAGUGAGAGCUGAGAGGUGGUUAGUGAGAGCUGAGAGGUGGUUAGUGAGAGCUGUGGAACACAACCGGAGCAUCUCUUCAGGUGGUCUUCAAUUUCCACACAAGUACUGGCUGCUCUGGUGUCACUGUGACUUCCUCCUGCCGCAGCCUACAGACGGGAAGGGUCUAGAAUGGAGCUGCUUCAGGAGACUGCUAGGUUCCAUGCUGCAGGCUUGGUUUCCCAGGGCAGCUCCUGAUCACUUUUCUUGGGCUGAGGUUUUCUUUGUAAUUAAUGCUCUAAGGUGACAGAAACACCAACUGCCUAAAGCGUGCCAACACUUUGUUCUAACCAUUGGAAGUAUAUGACUUACAGCUUGUUUCACCUAUACAGUGAUAGGCUCAGUGCUGCCAACCCAUAGGACCUAAGGUUGAUCACCAGAAC